Molecule: long non-coding RNA, 1361 nt
Filed under: Salmo salar (Atlantic salmon)
Lineage: Eukaryota; Metazoa; Chordata; Actinopteri; Salmoniformes; Salmonidae
Description: lncRNA (ENSSSAG00000093965.1)
Source: RNAcentral
CUCUGAUCUGGUGGACUCUAAUCUGGUGGACUCUGAUCUGGUGGACUCUGAUCUGGCAGACUCACUAAACACAAAUGCAUCGUUUGUAAAUGAUGUCUGAGCAUCGGAGUGUGUUCAGCUCUUGCUGUUUAGUGUGCUGUACAGUGGUCCUAUCGACCUGCUGGCGCAGAGUAGACAGACAAGCAGCAGCCCACAGCCAGAUACAGACAGGAGGGCAGACAGGCAGGUGGCACAUAGCAGCCACAAAACAGACAAACAGACAGACAGACAGACAGACAGACAGACAGAAAGACAGACAGACAGACAGACAGACAGACAGACAGACAGACAGACAGACAGCGCCACACAACAGACAGUGGGCCUCGGAGCUUUACUAAUCCAGCCUCCUGCUGUUCACUGACAAAUACACUGUACACAAUACUUAGGCUUAGAUCGACAUCUAGUGGACAUUUAGUGUAACUGCAGAGGUCUUGGCAAAUACAUUUACAUGAUAUUUUAGUCAUUUAGCAGACGCUCUUAUCCAGAGCGACUUACAAAAGCAAUUAGGGUUAUAAGUGCCUUGCUCAAGGGAUCAUCGGCAGAUGUUUCACCUUGUCGGCUCAGGGAUUCAAACCGGCGACCUUUCGUUUACUGUCCCGACGUCUUUAACCUCUAGUAGAUUUUUUUUUCAAUCUCUGUGCUAUUUGAUGAUGAUAAAAUAUGUGGGAACAAGAAAAGUUCAUAUACCACUACUUAUAUGAGCAGUCACAGUAUUGAAGAAACACAUUUUCUACCUGAAAUCUUCUCUUGGAACGGUCGGUCGAGGCAUGGUUGAGAAAUGAACAUUCAGUUCUCUGGCAACACAGCUCCAGUGGACAUUUCUGCAGUCGGCAUUGCCAAUUGCAUGCUCCCUCAAAAACUUGAGACAUCUCUGGCAUUGUGUUGUGUGACAAAAACAUUUUAAAAGUGGUCAUUUAUUGUCCCCCCAGCACAAGGUUCACCUGUGUAAUGAUUGUUGCUGUUUAACCAGCUUCUUGGCAUGCCACACCUGUCACUAACAGGAAUCUAAAACAAAAUGGUGCACAACAUUUGAGAGAGAUAAUCUUAAUGUGCGUAUGGAAAAUUUCUGGGAUCUUUUAUUUCAGCUCAUGAAACAUGGGACACUUUACAUGUUUCGUUUAUAUUUUAGUUUAGUAUAGAUCAUUUUAAAUUUGUUUUAUACAUCAGUUGGGAUCUCUAUAAGCUACGAUAUGAGGUCAUAGAACUUUCAUGAAAGUGCAUCCUUGUAGCGGUGUGGGCUAAUAUAGUCCAAAUGUUUACUUCAGGGUAAGUUGAGAAAAUGACCUUGAGAUAUGUUGAGCCAAUGACCUUGGGAUAUGUUG